GAAGUGACAUUGGAGCACCUUCCAGUGCCUAAAGGGGAUCCAGGAGAGCUGGAGAGGGACCUUGGACAAGGGCCUGGAGGGACAGGAGAAGGGGGAAUGGCUUCCCACUGCCAGAGGGCAGGGUUAGAUGGGAUACUGGGAGGGA
Molecule: long non-coding RNA, 145 nt
Organism: Corapipo altera (White-ruffed manakin)
Lineage: Eukaryota; Metazoa; Chordata; Aves; Passeriformes; Pipridae
Exons: 3
Source: RefSeq, a predicted model, not a curated record